Molecule: non-coding RNA, 195 nt
Filed under: Mucispirillum schaedleri
Lineage: Bacteria; Pseudomonadati; Deferribacterota; Deferribacteres; Deferribacterales; Mucispirillaceae
Also listed under: 1 other name
Source: RNAcentral
AUUUAAUAGCUGAAUAUCGGUUUUUAAGAUUAAAAGGGAAGCAGGUGUAAAUCCUGCACAGUCUUGCUGCCGUAUUGAUGAGAAUGUUUUCACAAGUAUUAAAAAGUGUAUGUUUUAAUACUUAGCCACUUUUAGGGAAGGCGAAAACAAACUUUGAUUCUUAGUCGGAAGACCUGCCGAUAUUUGCCGCAUAUA